RNAcentral lists this long non-coding RNA (479 nucleotides) under Nicotiana benthamiana. RNAcentral describes it as "long non-coding RNA (NBEN_LNC026765)". Lineage: Eukaryota; Viridiplantae; Streptophyta; Magnoliopsida; Solanales; Solanaceae. The record is from RNAcentral.
AGCUAACAAAAUCAUCGGUUUUCUAUUCAAAGGUCAUCCUGACACUGUUCUGAUUACGGACCAUUUUCCAAUACUUAAGCUCUCAUUUAGGGACUAAGUGUCCUAAAACACUCCGAAUUCUAUUACCGAACGUCCCGAUACGGAUUUCCAUUCCGAGGUCGUCUUGACACUGUUCUGAUUACGGACCAUUUUCCAAUACUUAAGCUCUCAUUUAGGGACUAAGUGUCCCAAAACACUCAGAAUUCUAUUACCGAACCUCCCGGCAAACCAAAAUAGCAGAAAUGAACUUAGGAGAAGUAGUUAAUGGGGAAACGGGGCAUAAAUUCCAAAAAUGACCGGCCAGUUCGUCACAUCCUCCUACACUUAAUCAUUCGUUCGUCCUCGAACGAGCAUAGAGAACAUACCUGAAGUAGAAAAAAAUGAGGGUAUCAGCUACGCAUAUCCCACUCGGUCUCCCAAGUCGCCUCCUUGGCCGGCUG